This 429-nucleotide ribosomal RNA is filed under the name Chloroflexota bacterium. RNAcentral's name for it is "Chloroflexi bacterium partial 16S ribosomal RNA". It matches the Rfam family "Bacterial small subunit ribosomal RNA", at positions 355 to 776 of the family's 1533-position model. Lineage: Bacteria; Bacillati; Chloroflexota. The record is from RNAcentral.
UAGGGAAUCUUCGGCAAUGGACGAAAGUCUGACCGAGCAACGCCGCGUGAGUGAAGAAGGGUUUCGGAUCGUAAAACUCUGUUGUUAGAGAAGAACAAGGACGUUAGUAACUGAACGUCCCCUGACGGUAUCUAACCAGAAAGCCACGGCUAACUACGUGCCAGCAGCCGCGGUAAUACGUAGGUGGCAAGCGUUGUCCGGAUUUAUUGGGCGUAAAGCGAGCGCAGGCGGUUUCUUAAGUCUGAUGUGAAAGCCCCGGGCUCAACCGGGGAGGGUCAUUGGAAACUGGGAGACUUGGGUGCAGAAGAGGAGAGUGGAAUUCCAUGUGUAGCGGUGAAAUGCGUAGAUAUAUGGAGGAACACCAGUGGCGAAGGCGGCUCUCUGGGCUGUAACUGACGCUGAGGCUCGAAAGCGUGGGGAGCAAACAGG